CCUACGGGUGGCUGCAGUGGGGAAUAUUGGGCAAUGGGCGCAAGCCUGACCCAGCCACGCCGCGUGAGUGAUGAAGGCCUUCGGGUCGUAGAGCUCUGUGGGGAGGGACGGAACUACGCUGGCUAAUAUCCAGCGGACUGACGGUACCUCCUUAGCAAGCACCGGCUAACUCCGUGCCAGCAGCCGCGGUAAUACGGAGGGUGCAAACGUUGCUCGGAAUCAUUGGGCGUAAAGCGCACGUAGGCGGUCCAGCAAGUCGGGUGUGAAAGCCCUCGGCUUAACCGAGGAAGUGCAUUCGAAACUACUGGACUUGAAUACUGGAGAGGAUCGCGGAAUUCCCGGUGUAGAGGUGAAAUUCGUAGAUAUCGGGAGGAACACCAGUGGCGAAGGCGGCGAUCUGGACAGAUAUUGACGCUGAGGUGCGAAAGCGUGGGGAGCAAACAGGAUUAGAUACCCGAGUAGUC
RNAcentral lists this ribosomal RNA (464 nucleotides) under uncultured bacterium. RNAcentral describes it as "bacterial SSU rRNA". It matches the Rfam family "Bacterial small subunit ribosomal RNA", at positions 338 to 795 of the family's 1533-position model. The record is from RNAcentral.